Molecule: ribosomal RNA, 292 nt
Filed under: uncultured bacterium
Lineage: Bacteria
Description: partial 16S ribosomal RNA
Rfam family: Bacterial small subunit ribosomal RNA
Source: RNAcentral
GCCUACGGGACGCAGCAGUGGGGAAUAUUGCACAAUGGGGGAAACCCUGAUGCAGCGACGCCGCGUGAAGGAAGAAGUAUUUCGGUAUGUAAACUUCUAUCAGCAGGGAAGAAAAUGACGGUACCUGAGUAAGAAGCCCCGGCUAACUACGUGCCAGCAGCCGCGGUAAUACGUAGGGGGCAAGCGUUAUCCGGAUUCACUGGGUGUAAAGGGAGCGUAGACGGCCAUGCAAGCCUGGAGUGAAAGCCCGGGGCCCAACCCCGGGACUGCUCUGGGAACUGUGCGGCUGGAG